GGGACACUGGAGACAGGUGGUGCAUGGUUGUCGUCAGCUCGUGUCGUGAGAUGUUGGGUUAAGUCCCGCAACGAGCGCAACCCCNUAUUUCCAGUAGCCAGCAUGUAAAGAUGGGCACUCUGGAGAGACUGCCUGGGAUAACCAGGAGGAAGGCGGGGAUGACGUCAAAUCAUCAUGCCCCUUAUGAUCAGGGCUACACACGUGCUACAAUGGCGUAAACAAAGGGAAGCGAAGUGGUGACGCCAAGCAAAUCCCAAAAAUAACGUCCCAGUUCGGAUUGUAGUCUGCAACUCGACUACAUGAAGCUGGAAUCGCUAGUAAUCGCGAAUCAGAAUGUCGCGGUGAAUACGUUCCCGGGUCUUGUACACACCGCCCGUCACACCAUGGGAGUCGGAAAUGCCCGAAGUCAGUGACCUAACCGAAAGGGAGGAGCUGCCGAAGGUGGAGCCGGUAACUGGGGUGAAGUCGUAACAAGG
Molecule: ribosomal RNA, 476 nt
Filed under: uncultured bacterium
Lineage: Bacteria
Description: bacterial SSU rRNA
Rfam family: Bacterial small subunit ribosomal RNA
Source: RNAcentral